CUUUGGAGCCCUCUACUGGCUUGGAGGCUCUAAGCAGUAGCUAAGUUUGGUUUGCUUGGACCCGCUCAGGUUUCAAAUGCUUCAAAAACAUCUCAUCUGUGCUUGAACCCAUUUCAAAGCAACUGUCUGUAAAUUGAUUUUAUGUUUAUUCAAAGCACUCAUGAAAAAACACAAAUUACAGAUCAGCGUUUUUUUUUUUUUUAUCUCUCUGCAAACAGAGGUGCUGGCAACUUUUUCAAUAGAUAUAAGGCAACCUUCAGUCACAUAGCCAGAAUCAGCCUCUGACCUUCUUCUCUUCCCGUCUAUGAAAACAGAUGACAUUAGGUUGGUGGAGGCUUUACUGUGACGCUGUCAUUAAACUCCACCUUUCACCCUGCGGGGGCUCACACUGUGAUUUACCUCUUUGGGAACGUACAGUAGGAGGAUAAUAUCUCCAUACACUGAUAAAUCUCUCUUCCUGCCUUUUCUCCUGUCAUCACAUCUCUUUUCCUCUUGUCAGGCUGAACCUGGCUGAUCUGUUCAAUCACCCAAGAGCGCCGAGGCAGGAGCCCGUAAAGAGCUUCAACUGGGAAUGUCUGGCCAUCAGUCUGGAGACCUCAAGUCUCUCAGAGAGUUUCUCUGAUCUUCUUCUGGAGGUUGGGAAACUGUGACCACGUUCAGGGCCUUUUCUGAAACAGCUUUCAGGAGCUGUGACCUGAAGGUUGGAUGAACUCGGUUCAACUAUGAAGAACCUGGAUUUCCUCAACCUUAUCAAGCAACCUGGAGGUUUGUGGAUGGCAGCUAAUUGCCCAGCUAGGAGUAUGAAAUCCCAGCCUGAACUCGUUCUCUGGUCUGGUAGGAGGCUGAUACAGAUUAGCCUCCCAUCUCAUUAAACUUGCUUUGGCCAUAUAAAAAAGAAACAGCUUCCAACACACUGGAGUCUUCAGACCACACUUCCUCAUUCUUGAACUCACGUAAACUCUAUAAACUCACACUUGGGAAAAGUUAGUUGUGUUAAAGACAUGGAUUGUUUAGCUGUUGUUCUUGGACAUUAUUGUUUAUUGUUUAUUGUAAUACAUGGUGCCAUGUAUUUCAGUCUUUUUCAUGAAUUACUGUUCUCCAACUCCAGCAGGUGAAUCUAAUCUUCUGUGUUUCAGCCUUUUUUUAACAGUGUAGCUGUGUAAGAAAGCUAACUGGGUUCUACAAUUGUUUCAUAAGAAAAAUUUGAAGAUACAUUU
Poecilia latipinna (sailfin molly) is the source of this 1217-nucleotide long non-coding RNA. RefSeq lists it as uncharacterized. The record is from RefSeq and is a predicted model, not a curated record. NCBI's taxonomy places the organism in Eukaryota, Metazoa, Chordata, Actinopteri, Cyprinodontiformes, Poeciliidae. The transcript is spliced from 3 exons.